UAUGUGAUCGUCUCUCGCAUAUCAAUAAGCGGAGGAAAAGAAACUAACAAGGAUUCCCCUAGUAACGGCGAGUGAAGCGGGAAGAGCUCAAAUUUGAAAUCUUAAAGGGUUUCCCUUUACGAAUUGUAGUUCAAAGAAGUGUUUUCUGUUGAGGUUUUGGUAAAAGUUCUUUGGAAUAGGACAUCAUAGAGGGUGAGAAUCCCGUAUUUGACCUUUACUUUCAACUUUGUGAUACACUUUCAAAGAGUCGGAUUGUUUGGGAAUGCAGUCCAAAAUGGGUGGUAAAUUUCAUCUAAAGCUAAAUAUUGGCGAAGAGACCGAUAGCGAACAAGUACCGUGAGGGAAAGAUGAAAAGAACUUUGAAAAGAGAGUUAAACAGUACGUGAAAUUGUCAAAAGGGAAGCGUUUGACACCAGUGUUGUUUUUCUGAAAAUCAAUUAAAGAACUGUUUAUGCUAAGCUGUUUAGACUUUAUCAGCUAAUCUGUUUAGUUUUAAGCUUUUCUUUAAUGCACUUUUCAGUUAACAAGUCAACAUCAAUUUCUUUUGCUGUAAAAAAGCUUGAGGAAGGUGGCUUGAGAUUCGUCUUAAGUGUUUAUAGCCUCUUGCCUAUGCAGUCGGAGAGAUUGAGGUCUGCAGCGUAGAUCCUUCGGGGCUAAAUGCAUUUGUGCUAAGUUAUAGCAUUUUAUAGACAACUUGUUGACUAUGAUUUGUCUUGUAGCUUACUCGCUUAUGUUAUUUUACCUACGCUUAGGAUGUUGACUGAUAUGUAGUCGUA
RNAcentral lists this ribosomal RNA (776 nucleotides) under uncultured Neocallimastigales. Its description in RNAcentral is "partial large subunit ribosomal RNA". It matches the Rfam family "Eukaryotic large subunit ribosomal RNA", at positions 24 to 644 of the family's 3401-position model. The record is from RNAcentral. Lineage: Eukaryota; Fungi; Neocallimastigomycota; Neocallimastigomycetes; Neocallimastigales.